GAGCUGAAGCGGAGGUGGGGGUGGCUGUUUAAGGUCUGCUGACGCGAUACGCCAGCCACUUUAUCACACAUUUUUAUAUUUGUACUUAAUUGAGGAGAAGGAAAAAAAAAAUGGGAAGCACAGUGAUGGAGUCCGGCAAGGAAAACUCAAAGAAAAUGAAGAAGAGGAGAAGUCUGCGGAUUAACAUGCCAGACUUCAGUACAUUUACUGCCCCGCAAGUGGAGACCAGUGGCUCAACCAAAAGUGGCACACAGACGGGAGAGCGCCUCGUUCGCUCGGCCAGCCCCACCAAAGGAGUUUCUGCAAAGAGCCCGACCAGUGUGCCCCCUUUACCCCAUUCUGCUCCAGUGCAAUCAAAAACCAAUCCAGCUUCACCCAAAACUAUCUUCCCCUACGCCUCACAUCCAAACUCCUCUCCGAAGUCUCCCCGUCGCCUCAGCUUUAGUGGUAUCUUCCGGUCCAAUUCCACAAAUGCAAGCAUAAAAAUCUUCUCCAGAGCCAAGAGAGCUUCUGGACUCUACACACCCCCCACCACGCCAACCCAGGCGUCCAGCCAGCCUGUGUUCACCCAGGAGGCUCAGCACAGCGGCCCCAGCCCUGAACGCCAGGAGCUGAGCUGUCGAGCUCGCUCUUUCUCCACCCCCCCAGAUACGGGACAGCGCCUCAGCCUUCCCUCUGCUAAACCCCCAAUCCCUUCUACCAGCCCUGUGCCACUGUUCUCUACCUCACAUCACGUCUACGGCUUAUUCGAAGGUAUGCUGGAGAAACUUGAACUAGAUGAUGAUGCUGCUGAGCCCGAGAGUGAUAUUUACAUGCGCUUUAUGAGAUCCCACAAGUGCUAUGACAUCGUCCCGACGAGCUCCAAGUUGGUCGUCUUUGACACAGCGCUUCAAGUUAAAAAAGCCUUCUUUGCCUUGGUGGCCAACGGAGUGCGAGCUGCCCCUCUUUGGGACACAGAGAAGCAAAGCUUUGUGGGAAUGCUGACAAUCACAGAUUUCAUCAUCAUAUUGCACAGAUACUAUAAGUCGCCGAUGGUGCAAAUUUAUGAAUUAGAAGAACACAAGCUUGAGACGUGGAGAGAGGUUUAUCUUCAAGCAACUUUUAAACCUCUGGUCAACAUAUCACCAGAUGCAAGCCUCUUUGAUGCAGUGUACACCCUCAUCAAAAACAAAAUUCACCGGCUGCCUGUCAUUGACCCUGUCACGGGGAAUGCACUUUAUAUUCUCACACACAAGAGGAUCCUCAAGUUCCUCCAGCUCUUCAUGUGUGAAAUGCCAAAGCCAGCUUUCAUGAAGCAGACUAUGGGUGAGCUGGGCAUCGGUUCGUACCAUGACAUUGCUUUCAUCCACCCGGACACACCCAUCAUCAAAGCACUCAACAUCUUUGUGGAGAGACGAGUGUCUGCUUUGCCUGUGGUGGAUGACUCAGGCAAAGUUGUGGAUAUUUACUCCAAGUUUGAUGUCAUUAACUUGGCUGCAGAGAAAACGUACAACAACCUGGACAUUACCGUGACCCAAGCUCUGAAACAUCGCUCUCAGUACUUUGAAGGGGUGGUGAAAUGCCAUAAAAUGGAAACGAUGGAGACCAUUGUAGACAGAAUAGUCAAAGCUGAAGUGCAUCGGUUGGUGGUGGUAGACGAGCAUUCAAGUAUCGAGGGCAUCGUUUCCCUGUCAGAUAUCCUCCAGGCUCUGGUGCUCAGCCCUACAGGUAUAGAUGCUCAACAUUGUUAGCUUCAACUCCCUUUCUAUCCUGGACCCUGAGCUCCCUCCCCCUCAUCUGCCCUCUAACUCUUCCCAGAUGCCUGUAAGGAGGAAAACCUGCCUGAAUGAGCGAGAUGUGCAUCAGCUUAUGUAGUUGGAGUAAAUGAUCUGAAAGGUGGAGGCUGGCAGGUGUGAGGCUGAGUGGAGCCAGAGCCAGUCUGAAGGUCCCAGAGACGCCUGCUAACGAUGCGCAACAAAGGCUUGGAAUCCAAGGAGGGAGUCCUGCACUGUCGGUUUAAUUUCUGAGUUUAUUUUCUGCUGUUUUGAACACUGAACCGACGCACACCCAUGACAGUAAAGACGCAGUGUAAAUUAUACAAACGCAUACAGAUCUAAUGUAUUACGGUUAGCUUCUGGGGAGUGUGCAGUUGCAGUGACGCUGCUGUCAUCGGAUGAUUUAAGUCGCAUUUUUACGCUUGAUACCUAUUGUUAUCACCUACCAGUAACCAUGAGCACCGUUUGGUAGCAGAAGUCCAGUUUAGUCCAGUUUACCCACAGUUAUUCUAGCACUUCUGACAUUUGUCAGUGCCAUUACAGACCGCUCAGUGCCCACUCUUUAUUUGUGCCUUUAAUUUCUAUUUUUUUAUUCUCCCCUGCCCCACAUCAGUGUGGUUCUUUUGGGCCACAGCUACUAACCUGGAAGAUGAUUUUUACUUUACACUCAGAUUUUCUAUAAUCGGGUCUAAAUCAUGUCAGAAAUCAAGGAUUUCUUUUGGGUCGGUUUAGCAGAGCUCAGAGGAAAGGUGAACAAUGUUGAGGGUGGUUGAGUUUGUCUCACUGAUUUGGUGAUUUUUACAAUCACUGUGACUUCAUAAUAAUGUUUUGUAAUGGUGAGAUGAGAUAGAUAAAUGCCUCUUGAGAGGAUACACAUUUUUACAUUUAUUUUUGGCGCUUCUGAUAAUUAUGAUACUCAAACAUGCAAAGCAACUGGUUUCUCACAGCUGUAGCUCAGCAGGAUCAUCUCCAUCUUUGGCUGUAAAUGGGAUUGUUGUCUGUUUUUUGUUGUUUUUUUUUUUUUUUUUUUCAAAACCGUGUCACAGAAAGCUUUAUUUUUAUGAAUGUGUCAACAUGUUUAAAGAGACUGCAGUUUGUUAUUUUUGUACAUAUAUUGUGGCAAUAUGUCUAGUUCAGAGAGAACUUGUAUCAAAUCAACAUGUACUGUAAAUGUGCAAGCAUGAGAAACUACACUUCAGCAGAAUGAAUGUUCUUUGUUUUACUUUUUCUAUUUUUCUGGCUGCAGAAAAAUAAACGGACACUGAAUGUA
Molecule: RNA transcript, 3024 nt
Organism: Cololabis saira (Pacific saury)
Lineage: Eukaryota; Metazoa; Chordata; Actinopteri; Beloniformes; Belonidae
Gene name: 5'-AMP-activated protein kinase subunit gamma-1-like
Exons: 16
Source: RefSeq, a predicted model, not a curated record